This 335-nucleotide long non-coding RNA is filed under the name Nicotiana benthamiana. RNAcentral's name for it is "long non-coding RNA (NBEN_LNC003296)". Lineage: Eukaryota; Viridiplantae; Streptophyta; Magnoliopsida; Solanales; Solanaceae. The record is from RNAcentral.
GGCCUAAAUUGGUGGUCUUAUGGACAUUGUUAAGGGGGCCAAUAUAUUGUCAUAUAAAGUGUAGGACUAAUGUGUAGAUACCCAAAAGGGUACCUUAGUUAAUGAUGGGCUAACUAAGGUUACAUAUAUGUAACCAUGGUUACAUGCUUGUGACUCUUGAGUUAUGUAACUCUUGUGACUCUUGCGUUAUGUAACUCAUGAAGUUAUAAAGUGGGGGUUAUGGUUCCCACAUUAGUGCAAGACAUGACUCUUCUUCCUCCCAUUGAAUCAAGAGCCAAACUACUCCAUUGUUGUCUUGCAAAUAGUGUGGAAAACCAUAAACCAUUUUGAUCAUU